AUAUAUAUAACCCUUAAGUUUAGUUUUAAUUUUUUUUUCUAUUUGGUUGUUGAAGUUUUAUUUGUACAUAACUAUUAAUUGCAAGGGAGAAUUUAUCACUACAAGAAAUUCUGGAUCUCUCGACGCUGUUUUACACCGUCGGGAGAUAUGGCAUCGAGAGUUAGGACCUCUCUCGACGCACAAGCUAAGGGGUCGAGAGAGGUAGGAAUUUCCAACACUUUACUUAAAGCGUCGGGAUAUAUCCAAGAACUUCUAGCGUAGAAAGAAACUCGUUGGGAGUUCUUGGAUAUAUCCUAAUGCUUUAAAUAAAGCGUUGGGAAUUUUUGGAUAUAUCCCGACGCUUUAAGUAAAGCGUCAAGAGUUAGCCUUUAAAAAAACCCCCCACCUUCACUGAUAUGCAAAGAAGAGGAAAGAGAUGUGUAGAAAUGGUGUGCACUAGGGUUGCUCCUCCACCGUUAGGGUCAGUGUCGUUGUCGCUGUUAAUGUCGAUGCAUCGUUGUCGUUGUUAGUGGCCAUUUUGUCUGCCGCUGCCACUCUCUUCGUCUUCGUCUCUGUCACAACCUCUUAGUUAGAGGUAAUUCAGAGUUUAAAAUCCUAAAUACAAACCCCUUUGAAUUUGUUCUUAAUUUCCUUUUCCAUCAGUGGGUUUUUUUUUAUUGUAACUCCCCCAAUAUUUCUUCUUGGUUUCUGUUUUUGUUAUAUUCAAAAGUUUGGAAUGAGGUUGUAAUCGUUCUUCAUGUUCUUAGCAACAAUAGUGAGUUUAGAAGCUGCAAAAGAGGAGGAAAUUGAAGAAGAUGAUGUAAUAGAUGGCUACCAAGCAAUGAAGAUGAUGACGAUGGAGAUGGUUCUGAUAAGGAAAUGGAUGGUUACCCAAUAUGUACUACCUUCCAUUAAUAAUGGAAGGUAUUUAAAAAGAAAAAAAAAAGAUUUCCCGACACACAAAACAAAGCGUCGGGAGAUCCUAGCCAUAUUCCAACAUUAUAUACAACAUCGGGUAUGUUUAGGUACAGUGUUGAAAUAUGUCUAGGAUCUUCCGAUGUUUCGUUUUGUGUGUCGGGAGAUCCUUUCUCGACUCAUUUUGCUCGACUUUCGUUCCGAUGCGCAUUUAUGCGUUGGGAGAUCCUUUCCCGACAAUUUUGCGUAUAUCUCCCGAUGCUUUUGUGCGUCGGGAGAUCUCCCUUUUCUUGUAGUGUAUUAAGAGACCGAGGGGGCACGUGCUCCCCUCACAUUCGAUUUUUGUAUUUUAAUAUUAAGUUUGAAGUGUCAAAUAAAAAAUAUAUUAAAUAAAGCAUUAUUUUAACUAAA
Cucumis melo (muskmelon) is the source of this 1305-nucleotide long non-coding RNA. RefSeq lists it as uncharacterized. The transcript is spliced from 2 exons. NCBI's taxonomy places the organism in Eukaryota, Viridiplantae, Streptophyta, Magnoliopsida, Cucurbitales, Cucurbitaceae. The record is from RefSeq and is a predicted model, not a curated record.